This 519-nucleotide ribosomal RNA is filed under the name Staphylococcus aureus. Its description in RNAcentral is "partial 23S ribosomal RNA". It matches the Rfam family "Bacterial large subunit ribosomal RNA", at positions 2282 to 2800 of the family's 2925-position model. The record is from RNAcentral. Lineage: Bacteria; Bacillati; Bacillota; Bacilli; Caryophanales; Staphylococcaceae.
GUCGCCUCCUAAAAGGUAACGGAGGCGCUCAAAGGUUCCCUCAGAAUGGUUGGAAAUCAUUCAUAGAGUGUAAAGGCAUAAGGGAGCUUGACUGCGAGACCUACAAGUCGAGCAGGGUCGAAAGACGGACUUAGUGAUCCGGUGGUUCCGCAUGGAAGGGCCAUCGCUCAACGGAUAAAAGCUACCCCGGGGAUAACAGGCUUAUCUCCCCCAAGAGUUCACAUCGACGGGGAGGUUUGGCACCUCGAUGUCGGCUCAUCGCAUCCUGGGGCUGUAGUCGGUCCCAAGGGUUGGGCUGUUCGCCCAUUAAAGCGGUACGCGAGCUGGGUUCAGAACGUCGUGAGACAGUUCGGUCCCUAUCCGUCGUGGGCGUAGGAAAUUUGAGAGGAGCUGUCCUUAGUACGAGAGGACCGGGAUGGACAUACCUCUGGUGUACCAGUUGUCGUGCCAACGGCAUAGCUGGGUAGCUAUGUGUGGACGGGAUAAGUGCUGAAAGCAUCUAAGCAUGAAGCCCCCCUC